RNAcentral lists this ribosomal RNA (716 nucleotides) under uncultured Staphylococcus sp. Its description in RNAcentral is "bacterial SSU rRNA". It matches the Rfam family "Bacterial small subunit ribosomal RNA", at positions 60 to 758 of the family's 1533-position model. The record is from RNAcentral. Lineage: Bacteria; Bacillati; Bacillota; Bacilli; Caryophanales; Staphylococcaceae.
AGUCGAGCGAACAGACGAGGAGCUUGCUCCUCUGACGUUAGCGGCGGACGGGUGAGUAACACGUGGAUAACCUACCUAUAAGACUGGGAUAACUUCGGGAAACCGGAGCUAAUACCGGAUAAUAUAUUGAACCGCAUGGUUCAAUAGUGAAAGACGGUUUUGCUGUCACUUAUAGAUGGAUCCGCGCCGCAUUAGCUAGUUGGUAAGGUAACGGCUUACCAAGGCAACGAUGCGUAGCCGACCUGAGAGGGUGAUCGGCCACACUGGAACUGAGACACGGUCCAGACUCCUACGGGAGGCAGCAGUAGGGAAUCUUCCGCAAUGGGCGAAAGCCUGACGGAGCAACGCCGCGUGAGUGAUGAAGGUCUUCGGAUCGUAAAACUCUGUUAGUAGGGAAGAACAAAUGUGUAAGUAACUAUGCACGUCUUGACGGUACCUAAUCAGAAAGCCACGGCUAACUACGUGCCAGCAGCCGCGGUAAUACGUAGGUGGCAAGCGUUAUCCGGAAUUAUUGGGCGUAAAGCGCGCGUAGGCGGUUUUUUAAGUCUGAUGUGAAAGCCCACGGCUCAACCGUGGAGGGUCAUUGGAAACUGGAAAACUUGAGUGCAGAAGAGGAAAGUGGAAUUCCAUGUGUAGCGGUGAAAUGCGCAGAGAUAUGGAGGAACACCAGUGGCGAAGGCGACUUUCUGGUCUGUAACUGACGCUGAUGUGCGAAA